RNAcentral lists this transfer RNA (75 nucleotides) under Sphaerodactylus townsendi. RNAcentral's name for it is "tRNA-Ile". It matches the Rfam family "tRNA". Rfam says of the family: Transfer RNA (tRNA) molecules are approximately 80 nucleotides in length. Lineage: Eukaryota; Metazoa; Chordata; Lepidosauria; Squamata; Sphaerodactylidae. The record is from RNAcentral.
GGCCGGUUAGCUCAGUUGGUUAGAGCAUGGUGCUAAUAACGCCAAGGUUGCGGGUUCGAUCCAAGUACGCCGCCG